UACGUAGGGUGCAAGCGUUAAUCGGAAUUACUGGGCGUAAAGCGUGCGCAGGCGGUUGUGCAAGACCGAUGUGAAAUCCCCGGGCUCAACCUGGGAAUGGCAUUGGUGACUGCACGGCUAGAGUGUGUCAGAGGGGGGGUAGAAUUCCACGUGUAGCAGUGAAAUGCGUAGAGAUGUGGAGGAAUACCGAUGGCGAAGGCAGCCCCCUGGGAUAACACUGACGCUCAUGCACGAAAGCGUGGGGAGCAAACAGG
RNAcentral lists this ribosomal RNA (254 nucleotides) under uncultured bacterium. RNAcentral's name for it is "partial 16S ribosomal RNA". It matches the Rfam family "Bacterial small subunit ribosomal RNA", at positions 524 to 776 of the family's 1533-position model. The record is from RNAcentral.